RNAcentral lists this ribosomal RNA (130 nucleotides) under Vibrio vulnificus. RNAcentral describes it as "partial 23S ribosomal RNA". The stretch from base 1 to 110 matches the Rfam family "Bacterial large subunit ribosomal RNA", at positions 2813 to 2925 of the family's 2925-position model. The record is from RNAcentral. Lineage: Bacteria; Pseudomonadati; Pseudomonadota; Gammaproteobacteria; Vibrionales; Vibrionaceae.
CUUUAAGUAUCCUGAAGGGUUGUUCGAGACUAGAACGUUGAUAGGCAGGGUGUGUAAGCGCUGUGAGGCGUUGAGCUAACCUGUACUAAUUGCCCGUGAGGCUUAACCAUACAACACCCAAAGGGUUUUG